This 367-nucleotide ribosomal RNA is filed under the name uncultured organism. RNAcentral's name for it is "bacterial SSU rRNA". It matches the Rfam family "Bacterial small subunit ribosomal RNA", at positions 526 to 896 of the family's 1533-position model. The record is from RNAcentral.
CGGAGGAUCCAAGCGUUAUCCGGAAUCAUUGGGUUUAAAGGGUCCGUAGGCGGGUUUAUAAGUCAGUGGUGAAAGCCCAUCGCUCAACGAUGGAACGGCCAUUGAUACUGUAGAUCUUGAAUUAUUAGGAAGUAACUAGAAUAUGUAGUGUAGCGGUGAAAUGCUUAGAGAUUACAUGGAAUACCAAUUGCGAAGGCAGGUUACUACUAAUGGAUUGACGCUGAUGGACGAAAGCGUGGGUAGCGAACAGGAUUAGAUACCCUGGUAGUCCACGCCGUAAACGAUGGAUACUAGCUGUUCGGGAGCAAUCUGAGUGGCUAAGCGAAAGUGAUAAGUAUCCCACCUGGGGAGUACGUUCGCAAGAAUG